UACGAAGGGGGGCUAGCGUUGUUCGGAAUCACUGGGCGUAAAGGGCGCGUAGGCGGCUGUUCAAGUCGGGGGUGAAAGCCUGUGGCUCAACCACAGAAUUGCCUUCGAUACUGGACGGCUCGAGACCGGAAGAGGUCAGUGGAACUGCGAGUGUAGAGGUGAAAUUCGUAGAUAUUCGCAAGAACACCAGUGGCGAAGGCGGCUGACUGGUCCGGUUCUGACGCUGAGGCGCGAAAGCGUGGGGAGCAAACAGG
RNAcentral lists this ribosomal RNA (254 nucleotides) under uncultured bacterium. Its description in RNAcentral is "partial 16S ribosomal RNA". It matches the Rfam family "Bacterial small subunit ribosomal RNA", at positions 524 to 776 of the family's 1533-position model. The record is from RNAcentral.